UAGGGAAUCUUGCGCAAUGGGCGAAAGCCUGACGCAGCCAUGCCGCGUGAAUGAUGAAGGUCUUAGGAUUGUAAAAUUCUUUCACCGGGGAAGAUAAUGACGGUACCCGGAGAAGAAGCCCCGGCUAACUUCGUGCCAGCAGCCGCGGUAAUACGAAGGGGGCUAGCGUUGCUCGGAAUUACUGGGCGUAAAGGGCGCGUAGGCGGAUAUCUAAGUUGGGGGUGAAAGCCCGGGGCUCAACCUCGGAAUAGCCUUCAAUACUGGAUAUCUUGAGUUCGGGAGAGGUGAGUGGAAUGCCGAGUGUAGAGGUGAAAUUCGUAGAUAUUCGGCGGAACACCAGUGGCGAAGGCGACUCACUGGCCCGAUACUGACGCUGAGGCGCGAAAGCGUGGGGAGCAAACAGGAUUAGAUACCCUGGUAGUCCACGCCGUAAACGAUGAGUGCUAGUUGUCGGCAUGCAUGCAUGUCGGUGACGCAGCUAACGCAUUAAGCACUCCGCCUGGGGAGUACGGUCGCAAGAUUAAAAACUCAAAGG
Molecule: ribosomal RNA, 535 nt
Filed under: uncultured bacterium
Lineage: Bacteria
Description: partial 16S ribosomal RNA
Rfam family: Bacterial small subunit ribosomal RNA
Source: RNAcentral